This 229-nucleotide ribosomal RNA is filed under the name uncultured bacterium. Its description in RNAcentral is "partial 16S ribosomal RNA". It matches the Rfam family "Bacterial small subunit ribosomal RNA", at positions 568 to 796 of the family's 1533-position model. The record is from RNAcentral.
UGCGCAGGCGGGGAAAUAAGUCAGUGGUGAAAAGCUGCCGCUUAACGGUAGUCUUGCCAAUGAUACUGUUUUUCUUGAGUAUGGUUAAGGUAGGCGGAAUGUGCAGUGUAGCGGUGAAAUGCAUAGAGAUUGCACAGAAGGCCGAUUGCGGAGGCGGCUUACUGAGCCAUAACUGACGCUGAGGCACGAAAGCGUGGGGAUCGAACAGGAUUAGAUACCCUGGUAGUCC